CCCCAGUUUGCCCACGAGGUUGGUUGUGCGCGUUUUUGUUCGGGUUUCGUUAUUUCGUUUAAGCUAGAAAUAAGCCGUGUGUGUGUCAGGUUACCAAUUUUGUGUGCCUAAGAAAAUCAAGAGCGAUCGCCAAAAACAGCAGCAGGCCCCCUGCCACACACCACACCCCGAUACACCAGCCCGUUGGGCAUACCUUCUUCGCUGGAAAUCAAACCACCAGCUCGCCCGAUUCGUCAACAUAUCGGCAUCCGAAGAAGUCUGGGAGAUUCUGGUGGCACUGGAAGCUACAUCCGGUGUAAGCAACCCCGAUUACACCAGCAUACAUCCGGUCAAACCACUAUUACCAUCCACCACUCACCGAAUGAAAUCUGAGUUGCGAACAGCCAAUCAUCGUCGCCGUCGUCAGCGAGCCACAGCAGCAGCAGCAGAUACAACCAAGUAGGUGCUUUCCAGUAGGGGUUCAUCCAUAAAGGAUGACACCUUUCAUAUAAAACCCAAUUGAUCGAUCAUAACCUUUUUAAUCGGGACGGUUACAAUAACCCGUUUCCCCGAAGUCAGGUUGCCGAGGCAUUUUUGGUCCACCAUCACAUUUUUAUGACCGCCCCAACCUAGAAAAACUAAAUAUUCCCCGGGAAGAGCGAUGAAAAGAGCACGGAGAACUAGGUAGAGAAAAGGCACACGGCUAGGUAUAGAGUAGGGUAGCUAGAGUAAUGAUCGUGUUAAUCGUUAAAUGUUAAUUUAUUACUCUUAAUUAAAAUGUAUCCCCUCACCAUCUACAUUCGCCCUUUGAUUACGUUAAUACACUAAAUCCAAAUCCUAGCCAGAAUUUUUAAAUUGAAGAGAAAUGACAACUUCACUUUCGGUCGUUAGUCCAUUCGUCAGCUCGCUCUGCGCUUGGCGCAUUUGAAUUCGAGUCCACCACGCUUCCAGGCUUGGGGAGUUAUUCUGGGAAUGAACGUUUGACUGUCCAAUGAUGAGUGUUUCGGGCAUGGGUGCCGUCGAAGAAUCGUGAGUCCUUGGUCGGCUUGAGGCGUUGUGGUCACGUGUCGAUGUUGACAGACGUUCGUUGCGUUAGGCGAAAGUCUGAGUUU
Molecule: long non-coding RNA, 1091 nt
Organism: Uranotaenia lowii
Lineage: Eukaryota; Metazoa; Arthropoda; Insecta; Diptera; Culicidae
Exons: 3
Source: RefSeq, a predicted model, not a curated record